Molecule: ribosomal RNA, 253 nt
Filed under: uncultured bacterium
Lineage: Bacteria
Description: partial 16S ribosomal RNA
Rfam family: Bacterial small subunit ribosomal RNA
Source: RNAcentral
UACGGGGGGGGCAAGCGUUGUUCGGAAUUACUGGGCGUAAAGGGCGCGUAGGCGGCCCACUAAGUCAGAGGUGAAAUCCCUCGGCUUAACCGGGGAACUGCAUCUGAUACUGGAUGGCUUGAGUUCGGGAGAGGGAUGCGGAAUUCCAGGUGUAGCGGUGAAAUGCGUAGAUAUCUGGAGGAACACCGGUGGCGAAGGCGGCAUCCUGGACCGACACUGACGCUGAGGAGCGAAAGCCAGGGGAGCAAACGGG